This 372-nucleotide ribosomal RNA is filed under the name Triticum aestivum (bread wheat). RNAcentral's name for it is "partial small subunit ribosomal RNA". Lineage: Eukaryota; Viridiplantae; Streptophyta; Magnoliopsida; Poales; Poaceae. The record is from RNAcentral.
AUGGAGCCCCAGGCGAGGACGUCGACGAGGUUGAAGCCGACGGGGUCGUUGGACUUGAGGAUGCCGGCGAACUCCUUGGCGCGCUCGUCGCCGGCCUCGAAGUGGGUCUUGCCGUUCUGCUCGGGCACCUGCUUCGCCACGUUCUCCCGCUGGAAGUUGAAGAAGACGAAGCGGCCCAUCACCAGCGACAGCCCCGUGCUGAGGCUGAUCACCACCGACGGCUCCAGCGCGGCCCGCGCCGCCACGGACCGCCUCGCCGGCGACGAGGCCCCCCGGAAAGAGACCGCCGCGCGAUGGGACGGCGCCAGGCGGAGCCCGGCAACGGUGGGCGGGGACAGCACGGCGGCGGUCGAGGUGGCCAUGGCCCUCUAG